AACCACCUAAGCUUUCCUCCUUUGACACAACUUCCUUGUUUCUUCUUCUUCCUCCUUAAAUAAUGGCGUAAUUCUUCUUGGAACCUCCUUUUUGGAGUUUUACUGGCGUCUAAGACAAGAUUUCUGAUUUUUUCACCCAAAAUCAAAUUUCUUCCUUCCUUCCAUCAACUUUAUUUACGAUUUCCAAGUUUUCAAAAUUGUGGGAAUUAUUCUGUAAAAGGGUAUUUGAUUUUGCAAAAUAAAAAUUAGGGGGGAAAUAAAGAGGAGGCAAGAUUAUCUGAUUGAUUUAUGUCUCUGACAUUUCCCAACCUAUCUUGGUGGUUGUGGAGUGGUAAAAAAAAAGAUGCUAAAUUGAAGAAAGAGUCUUCUCUUGAUUCGUCGUCCGAAUUGAAUGUGGAUGUAUUGAAGUUCCCUGCUAUUAGUGGGACUGGGGGUAAUUUAGGUUCUAACUCGAGGAGGGGGAGGCGAAAAGGGCGGGCUCAAGAGGGUGGGAAGGUUGAUAAGGAGCAUGAUGUUGUCCUUGUGCCUUCAGAUGGAGGUGGUACGUCUGAUAAUGAAUCGGAUGCUUCAGAUUGGUCGAUAGGAUGGUCGGAGCCACAUGCCUCGGGGUUCUUGAGUGAGGAUGAAAUUGAUGGGGGAUUUGGUGUUCUUGUCCGCUGCUAUGGGCGUGGUUCUGGAGGGAAUCAAGACCGUAGAAAGAACAGUGUGGUCAAUAAUGCCAAUGUACCAGAGCUUUAUUCUGCUGGUAUUGAACGGUUCAUGUUGGUCUUAUUUGUACUUUGAUAUAUGAGGGGAUCAAAAUUGCAAAGCUCUUUUUAUCCCUCCUCUCUAGACUUUGGUUUUCAAGAAUGAAGGGCUUACAUAGUUGCCCAAAAAGCUUGGAGCAUGAUGGCGAAAAGUACAUGGAACGGUGGCUUUCUUCUCUACAGCAUAACUGAACUAGCCAGAUUGCUCCCUGCCAUGCUCUUUCUGCUGCUGUGUAGUUUGGGAAUUACAUGAACCUUAAAAUGGGGUUUUUAUCAGUUGAUGUAUUUCAACUUCUUUGAUACGGCUUAUAAAUCAAACGGUUUACUCGUAUUUAAUUAUUUUUAUCAUGUAGGUUUGUUAAUAAAAUCUUGAAUCUUUUUUAAAAAGAAAAAAAACAUAAAUAAUAGGGGGAAAAAAACAAUUAAAAAAAAAAUGCCCUGAAUUACUGCUAGUGUGAAUUCUUUGUUUCGACCGCCUUUGUAAAUACAUUUGGAUAUGUGGAUAACUUGAUUCAUCAGUUGUAAAUACUUUUAAUUCAAAAUUAAUAUCAAAAACUCUGUUUUAUUGUUUGAUCUUUUAUUAUUAUAGUAUGUAAUAGCCUUGCUUAGUUAUCUUCCUACAUAAGCAUUUGACAGUGAUGUGAAUUAUUUUUGGUUAGAAAUCUGGAUCAACUGAGAUUCGUGGAUUACGUGCAGAGUUGUUGAUAACUUUGUGGAAUUGUGGUUGCUUGUAAUUUGUAAAUGCAAAGGCUAGGUUUCCAAGCAAAUUAUCUUCUUAGCUUUACCAUUUACUCAUUCCUCUUAUUUAUUUAUUUAUUUAUUAUUAUUUUUAUUUAUUUAUUUAUCCUUUCCUGUAAGAAUACACCUCAUGAUUAGUUUGAGGCCCUUAACUUACGACAAAAAAGUAACUAAUCACUAGUCUU
RNA transcript from Chenopodium quinoa (quinoa), 1669 nucleotides. RefSeq lists it as uncharacterized. The transcript is spliced from 4 exons. NCBI's taxonomy places the organism in Eukaryota, Viridiplantae, Streptophyta, Magnoliopsida, Caryophyllales, Amaranthaceae. The record is from RefSeq and is a predicted model, not a curated record.